GAUGAACGCUAGCGGCAGGCCUAAUACAUGCAAGUCGAGGGGUAACAUGGAAGCUUGCUUCUGAUGACGACCGGCGAACGGGUGCGUAACGCGUAUGGAACUUGCCUCAAACUAUGGGAUAGCCCCGGGAAACUGGGAUUAAUACCGUAUAAUAUAUUCAGCUCGCAUGGGUAGAAUAUUAAAGAUUUAUCGGUUUGAGAUAGCCAUGCGUGACAUUAGCUAGAUGGUGAGGUAACGGCUCACCAUGGCUACGAUGUCUAGGGGGUCUGAGAGGAUGAUCCCCCACACUGGUACUGAGACACGGACCAGACUCUUACGGGAGGCAGCAGUAGGGAAUAUUGGUCAAUGGGCGAAAGCCUGAACCAGCCAUGCCGCGUGCAGGAGGACGGCCCUCCGGGUUGUAAACUGCUUUUAUAUGAGAAGAAACCCCCUGAUGCGUUAGGGGCUGACGGUACCAUAUGAAUAAGGAUCGGCUAACUACG
Molecule: ribosomal RNA, 482 nt
Filed under: uncultured Bacteroidota bacterium
Lineage: Bacteria; Pseudomonadati; Bacteroidota
Description: bacterial SSU rRNA
Rfam family: Bacterial small subunit ribosomal RNA
Source: RNAcentral